UAUCUCUGAAUAAGAAUGAAAUUUUGAAAUUUUGCCUCUUCUCAAAAUUUAUAUUUAUUUAUAUAUAAACAUCCCCUUCACCCCACCACACACACAGAGAAUAAUUUAAGUGAAGCUGAUGUAUAUUAAGGUGGCAAAUCUGUAAUACUCUCAUUGCAGGUAUAAAAAAAUCUUUUACAUGGAAUUUGGACCUCAGUCUUAAAGUUCUAAACACAUUGCCCUAGGCAGCUAUUACCAAUUAACUGAAGUGGGCAUUCAAGUCAAAACCUUCAUCAUAGCAUUUAGUUCAUAAAAUAGAACCUGCUUUAAAUACAUUCAGCUAAAUGGGAUGUAAUGCAGUGAGUUAGAUGCUCACAGAAUUGCUGGAAGACCAAAGAAGCUGACUUGAGGCCUAACCUCCAGGGCUGACUCCCAGAACAGUACAGAACUGAGUCCUCAGUUACUCUGCUGCUAUUAGAAAUGGAAGGAAUCAGUAAACUUCAAAUGAAAUUCUGUAGUUCCAGAACACACUGCUAUAGCUGCAACCCAAGGGUCAGAAACCUGGGAUCUGAAGGCACCAACACCACCCAGGAAGCUGUUGGCAAGAUGGGGAACAGAGAAUAUGACAGCUCCCCCUACUGACGUAGCUGCCCUUUGAUACCCAGGAGGCUGGGGACUGGAUUCUGGACACAAAGCAGAAAAACCUCAUGCUACCACGGCCUUUCUUGCCAUCUUUUAGAUAUGAGUAACUUAAUUUGGGGAAGUGUAGUUUGUGUGCAGAAUCCUCACUUCAAGAAAGCUCGAGAGAUGUAGUUUUCAGUCUCGGAAGGCAUGUGACAUCAGAACGUAUACAGAAGGUACAUCCUUGUUGAAACCUAUUUGUUCUCUCUCUCCUUAUUGGAGCCUCAUUGUAAGGAGAUAUAGAACUUGUAUAGAGAAUAACAGGAAAGUUUGAGUAACUGGCUUUUCUUAGCAGAUAUGCCAAAACUAAGGGGAUUUGAUCCCUUCUACUUAGAGGAUACAGAUAGUGACAAUUUUAGCUUUUUAUAUUUAAUUUCUCCUUUCUUCUCAUCAAGUCAUUUUGCUCAAGAACUUAAUUCUAAAAUUAAGCAACUUGAUGCCUUUGAAUUACUUAGAUCUUUGUAUCUGCUGCUCCUGUUUUUUUCCUCUCGCAAAAAGAGAGGGUACUUCCUAUCUUUGUUUAUUACCAGAAUUGAUUAGGGACUAACUAGCUCUGUAGUAUAGUAACAGCUUACUAAUGUUCAAUUAAGGCCACUUAAUAUAGAGCAAAAAUAAAAUGCAAAAUAGGGAAAUAUAUAUGAAUAUAUUACCCAAAUAUAUAUUUGGCAUAGAAUGUGCUCUUAAUCUAAAGUUGUCAGCAACAUCCAUACUCUCCUAAGAAAAAAUUUGAUUCAGUAGGAAGCAAAAGAGUACAAGCACAGCAUUGAAAAUAUUUUGACUCUGUCAUCCAUCCAUUAUGGCCAGAUGGGUAAAAUGGCUAACUUUUCUCAAGUACCCAAGACCUUGAUUCUCAAGGCAUUCCUGUAAGCAUAUGUGAUAGGAUCACCAUGGUUACACAACGUGUUUCAGUCAUGGUAUAGAGUAGAACUCAAACCCAGGCCUUUGAACUCUCAGUAAAAUUGUUUUCUGCUACACUAAGGAAGAUCACUAUUUUUCUUCUUAGGGGUGUGUUGGUAUACUUUGUAAACAAGUAUUUAAUUUAAUACACCUAGAAAAGAGGAAAUGGCUGAAAACAAAUACCCAUGAGCAUACUUUUACUUUUGCAAUUUUACAUAACUGGCAGAGGGAUAGUUAUAUGACUUGCAUCGUUGGAAUAUGAGUUUUUAAUCUAUUUUAAAGUAUAAUGUCCAUUUAGACACUACAGUUUAAUGGCCAUUUUAUUUUUUUUAAUGUUUAACAAAAUUUUUAUACUUUUCUUGGUCUUUUUUUGGGGGCCACAUCCAUGGCGUAUGGAAGUUCCCAGGCUAGGGGUCUAAUGGGAGCUAUAGCUGCCAGCUUAUGCCAUAGCCACAGCAACACCAGAUCUGAGUUGUGUCUGCAACCUACACCACAGUUCAGGGCCAUAUGGGAUCUUUAGCCCGCUGAGCGAGGCUGGGGAUAGAAACUGUGUUCUCAUGAAUACUAAUUGGAUUUGUUACUGCUGAGCCAUGAUGGGAACUCCUAAUAGCUACUUUAGAGCAACUAUUCAUUCCUAUAGGAAAUAUCUCUUUUAUAGGAAAAAUGUAUAAGGAACAUGGCCAUGGAGUUAUUUUUUUUAACCAGAGUCUCAUUGUAGUAGGCUCACCCACUUGUUUGUGUCCCUAUGCAACUAUUCCUUUCAAGGCUGCUCUAAAUAGCUCUCUCCAGUCCUGUCUUCUUUCUUUGGUAUCACCCUGUAAAGCUUCUUUUCACUUGCUACAUCUUACAGGACCCAACUGCAUUUUAAUAAGUUCUAUGUCUAGUCACACUUACCUCGUACUUGGUCAUAGGGCAAGCACAUUAUCACACAGCUUAUCAUUCCAAUAUUCUUUUAAAGUGACUUCCUUCUGAAGGCAGGUGGGUGUGAAGGGAGGCUCCUCAGUCCUAAACUAUUUGAUGUGAGAAUGAAAUACAUCUUCUUUAGGUUAUUAGGUCCCAUGAAAAAAGAUACAGUUUUUAAGCAUAGGAGAGUUAAAAAACACAAUGGAGACAACCCAAACGAUUUUCACAAAGCAGGGCUAGCUUUGAAUAUAAAAGGUAAAUCACAUAACUGAAAAAACUAUCAGAAAUAUUUCUAUGUUUACAUGUUAUUUGUUUAAGUUCUUAAACUAUCUCUACUCUGUUACUCCCUCUUUCUUUGUCAGGAAACUCCACAAAGAAAGUCACUCAAAUAAGUUAACUUAGAAAAAUUUCCUUGCUUUCAUUUUUUUUUUUUUUUUCCUUUAUGGUAAACAUAGCUUGCUUACAAGUGCUCUCUCUUUAAAAAAGUGUCUAGAAAGAAAGAAGUAGGAUGACUAGCUUUAGGUCAGAAGUCAUUUGCAUCCAAGAAUCGAGUAAGUGCCUGAUAGUUAGUAGGAAUGAGAUUCUGGGAGAUGUGAUAAAUGGACCAAGGAGUGCUCUCAGGUGACAGUUCCUGACGGGUUAUAAGAACACAUCAUGUCCUAGUUUUUGGUCUCUGCUAAUAAUCUAUUGUGAUGUACAGCAGGUUCUGAUAUACAGAGUAAUUCAAGUGCUCUUCUGUUGGGCAUAUGGUGCUUUUAAGAACACUCCAAGGGUUGAUUUGACUGCUCCUGUUGAUAAAGGAUGGCACAGUGGGAAGAAGGGAACAAGCUAUGGAUGGUGCGUGGGAUUCAGAGGAGGAAGGGAUUCGUAUGAGAGCAGAGCUGCUAAGGAAAACAACAUGAAGUGACUUAAUUAGAAAACCAGUUUUGCCAUUAUUUAAGUUGAGUUCCUGCAAGUGUCACUGUUUCUUAUGGUAAAAUCUAAUGAUACAUAAAUAUAUGCAUAUAUAUGUGCAUAAAAUAUGUAUAUUAUGUACAUGUGUAUUUUAUGUAUUUAAAUAUGUAUGCACAUAUACAUAUGCAUAUAAUAAAUAGCAAACUCAUGUGAAGUAGCAAAAGGACAGGAUUUAACCCCAGCUGUUGAACUGGGAGUCGGGGGGAAAUAGGAACAAAAAGAAAUAAUUCUAGAGGAAACUUUUUGAGUAACAGAGAAAAAUUUUCCAGGAAACAUGGCUUGGCACUCCUUUUUUUCCCUUUUAAAGACAGGGAAAAUAAUACAUUUUUCUCAUAGUAUCACCAACAGAUCCCAUUCAUUGGCAAAAGGAGUAAUUUUUGUAUAUAAAGUUAACAGGGUAAGUUUACACUUGAAGAGUGUCCCCCCAGAAUUUUCUGUUAUAGGAUUUGUGUAAUAUCAAGCAGAAUCAGAAAUGGUUAGAACAGUAGGAAUAUGGCAGACCAAAUCUGUGCAGUUGUAGAUAUCCCUAAUGCCAAAUUUGAGUGAUUUCAGGCAUAGAGCUUGAGAACACUGCAGUGAGGCAGUCAGCCCUGAUGCAAAAACUGACCCAGAACCAACCAGGAUGGAACAGAGGGAGAGGACUCAGGACCUCAUAGGACUAAGGUGUCAAAAUGAAUAUGCUUAGAGCAGGGCCAUGGUAGAUAUUAACUAGCCAUUCGCACCCAAUGUUUUUUAAAAAACAUGGCUGUCCAACAUAUGGUCUGUGAACCAAAUUAAUCCUGUCUGACAUUAGAUUGCAAUUCACCUGUGAUUUUGAAGAAAAAAUAUUUCCCCCAAUUAUCUAAUUUUUCCAUCCUAACCAGCUGACAAGCUUAGCUCUUAAGCUGACUGCUGCUGGGUUUUACACAGAAGGCUAAGAUCAGUAGUUGAAAUUGAAGCCAAAGUCAUUAGUUACAUACUUGUGGGUUGUUCAGUUUUAAAUCUGUACUAUCAUGUUGUAAAAUUUAGAUAUUUUAGAUGAUUGUGGAAUAAAGCAAAUUUAGCAGAAAUAAGAGACCACGCAUGCUUGAGUUGAGAUCUCUAUUCAGUAGACUCACUAUUACUAGCUAAAUAAGUGAGUAAAUAAGUAAAUGAUGUCUACUGUUGAAGACAUGAGUGUGCUCCUAGAUUAGAAGCAGAGAAGAAAGAAAAGGGGAGAUAAACUUAAAUGUCCCUUUUAUGCCAGGAAUGGCUCUAGGAGUUUUUUAUUUCUUUCUUCUUAUAAUGCCCCCCAAAAGCCCAUGAUACAGCUCUCCACCUUGCAGACAAGGAAUAUAAGGCAUAGAGAGCUUACUUAUCUUGACCAAAGUUCUACAGUUUGAUGAGGAGCAUAGCCAACUCUUCAAACCCAUGAUUCUCAAGUCUGUAUUCUUAAUUAUGCCUAUAUAUUAUUUAUAUUUUGUUACAUGUGUAUUAUGGAUAUAUUAGUUGUUUCUUAAACCUUAGGUAGUUUAAUUAAUUAAUGUAAAUCCUAGUCUUCUAAACUAUAAUUAUAAAGCAACAUAAAAUGUUAAUGAGAUCAUCAAUAACUUUAUUUAUUUAGUUUUUUUUUAAGGGCUGCACCUGUAGCAUAUGGCAGUUUUCAGGCUAGGGGUCGAAUCAGAGCUAUAGCUGCUGGCCUGCACCAUGGCCACAGCAACAAGGGAUUCGAGUUUCAUCUGCGACCUAUACCACAGCUUGUGGCAAUGCCAGAUCCUUUACCUACUAAGCGAGGCCAGGGAUUGAACCCAUGUCCUCAUGGAUACUAGUUGGGCUCGUUACCACUGAGCCAUGAUGGGAAUGCCUAUCAAUAAUUUAAAAAUAUAUUAUUACAUGUAAUUUUAACAGUAUUCAAUGAAGGAAUAUUUUUGUUCUCUAGAAAAUUAUAAGUUGAAAGAAUUCAACUAAGUUAUUAAGAUGAUUACCUCAGGGAGUUCCCACUGUGGCUCAGUGGAUUAAGAACCCGACAUAGUGUCUGUUAGGAUACAGGUUUGAUCUCUGGCCUCACUCAGUGGGUUAAGGAUCCAGCAUUGCAGCAACCUUCAGUGUAGGUAUAGAUGCAGCUUGGAUCUGGCAUGGCUAUGACUGUGGCAUAGGCUGGCAGCUGCAGCUCCAAUUCAACCCCUAGCC
This 5562-nucleotide long non-coding RNA is filed under the name Sus scrofa (pig). RNAcentral's name for it is "lncRNA (ENSSSCG00000060587.1)". Lineage: Eukaryota; Metazoa; Chordata; Mammalia; Artiodactyla; Suidae. The record is from RNAcentral.